AUGGCCGCCUGGCGAAGGAAGGAGACGGCCGUAGCGUACGUGCUCGCCGCCCCUGGCGACGGAGGCGGCGACAGAGGAAAGAAGAUCCCCAAGGGGUACCUCCCGCUGGCGCUGGUGGGCGAGGAGGGAGACGGCGACGAGCGGGUGCUGGUGCGGAUCGAUGCGCUCAAGGAGCCGUGCAUGGCGGCGCUGCUGGAGAUGGCCGCGCAGCAGUUCGGCUACGGCCAGCCCGGCGUCCUCAGGAUCCCCUGUGAUGCACAGCAGUUCCACCAAAUGGUCAGCGCCAUGUGUAGCAAGACCAAAGCCACGUAG
RNAcentral lists this ribosomal RNA (312 nucleotides) under Triticum aestivum (bread wheat). RNAcentral describes it as "partial small subunit ribosomal RNA". Lineage: Eukaryota; Viridiplantae; Streptophyta; Magnoliopsida; Poales; Poaceae. The record is from RNAcentral.